Molecule: ribosomal RNA, 484 nt
Filed under: uncultured bacterium
Lineage: Bacteria
Description: partial 16S ribosomal RNA
Rfam family: Bacterial small subunit ribosomal RNA
Source: RNAcentral
AUUGAACACUGGCGGCAGGCCUAACACAUGCAAGUCGAGCGGAUGAAGGGAGCUUGCUCCUGGAUUCAGCGGCGGACGGGUGAGUAAUGCCUAGGAAUCUGCCUGGUAGUGGGGGAUAACGUCCGGAAACGGGCGCUAAUACCGCAUACGUCCUGAGGGAGAAAGUGGGGGAUCUUCGGAUCUCACGCUAUCAGAUGAGCCUAGGUCGGAUUAGCUAGUUGGUGGGGUAAAGGCCUACCAAGGCGACGAUCCGUAACUGGUCUGAGAGGAUGAUCAGACACACUGGAACUGAGACACGGUCCAGACUCCUACGGGAGGCAGCAGUGGGGAAUAUUGGACAAUGGGCGAAAGCCUGAUCCAGCCAUGCCGCGUGUGUGAAGAAGGUCUUCGGAUUGUAAAGCACUUUAAGUUGGGAGGAAGGGCAGUAAGUUAAUACCUUGCUGUUUUGACGUUACCAACAGAAUAAGCACCGGCUAACUUCGUG